RNAcentral lists this ribosomal RNA (372 nucleotides) under uncultured organism. RNAcentral describes it as "bacterial SSU rRNA". It matches the Rfam family "Bacterial small subunit ribosomal RNA", at positions 526 to 896 of the family's 1533-position model. The record is from RNAcentral.
CGGGGGGGGCAAGCGUUGUUCGGAAUUACUGGGCGUAAAGGGUUCGUAGGUAGCUUGCUAAGUCAGACGUGAAAUCCCUCAGCUUAACUGGGGAACUGCGUCUGAGACUGGCGAGCUUGAGUGCAGGAGAGGAACGCGGAAUUCCAGGUGUAGCGGUGAAAUGCGUAGAUAUCUGGAGGAACACCGGUGGCGAAGGCGGCGUUCUGGACUGCAACUGACACUGAGGAACGAAAGCCAGGGGAGCAAACGGGAUUAGAUACCCCGGUAGUCCUGGCCCUAAACGAUGAAUGCUUGGUGUGGCGGGUAUCGAUCCCUGCCGUGCCGAAGUUAACGCGAUAAGCAUUCCGCCUGGGGAGUACGGUCGCAAGGCUG